Molecule: ribosomal RNA, 407 nt
Filed under: Verrucomicrobiota bacterium
Lineage: Bacteria; Pseudomonadati; Verrucomicrobiota
Description: Verrucomicrobia bacterium partial 16S ribosomal RNA
Rfam family: Bacterial small subunit ribosomal RNA
Source: RNAcentral
UGGGGAAUAUUGGACAAUGGAGGAAACUCUGAUCCAGCAAUUCUGUGUGUGUGAAGAAGGUUUUAGGACUGUAAAACACUUUUAGUAGGGAAGAAAAAAAUGACGGUACCUACAGAAGAAGCAACGGCUAAAUACGUGCCAGCAGCCGCGGUAAUACGUAUGUUGCGAGCGUUAUCCGGAAUUAUUGGGCUUAAAGGGCAUCUAGGCGGUAAGACAAGUUGAAGGUGAAAACCUGUGGCUCAACCAUAGGCUUGCCUACAAAACUGUUGAACUAGAGUACUGGAAAGGUGGGUGGAACUACACGAGUAGAGGUGAAAUUCGUAGAUAUGUGUAGGAAUGCCGAUGAUGAAGAUAACUCACUGGACAGAAACUGACGCUGAGGUGCGAAAGCUAGGGGAGCAAACAGG